GACGAACGCUGGCGGCGUGCUUAACACAUGCAAGUCGAGCGGUAAGGCCCUUUCGGGGUACGACGAGCGGCGAACGGGCGAGUAACACGUGGGUGACCUGCCCUCCAGCUCUGGGAGUAAGACCUGGGAAACCGGGUACCGUAAUACCGGAUAUGACUCCAUGACGCAUGUUGUGGGGUGGAAAGCCUUGUGCGGCUGAGGAUGGGCCCGCGGCCUAUCAGCUUGUUGGUGGGGUGAUGGCCUACCAAGGCGACGACGGGUAGCCGGCCUGAGAGGGCGACCGGCCGACACUGGGACUGAGACACGGCCCAGACUCCUACGGGAGGCAGCAGUGGGGAAUCUUGCGCAAUGGGCGAAAGCCUGACGCAGCGACGCCGCGUGAGGGAUGACGGCCU
RNAcentral lists this ribosomal RNA (395 nucleotides) under uncultured bacterium. RNAcentral's name for it is "bacterial SSU rRNA". It matches the Rfam family "Bacterial small subunit ribosomal RNA", at positions 28 to 417 of the family's 1533-position model. The record is from RNAcentral.